This 109-nucleotide small RNA is filed under the name Marmota monax (woodchuck). Lineage: Eukaryota; Metazoa; Chordata; Mammalia; Rodentia; Sciuridae. The record is from RNAcentral.
GCUGGGUGUGGUGGUGCACACCUGUAAUCCCAGCAACUUGGGAGGCCAAGGCAGAAGGAUCACAAUUUUGAGGCCAGCCUCAGCAAUUUAGUGAGGACCUAAGCAAUUU